CUCUUAAGCUCCUUUUCGAGUUCAUACCACAACUCACCUUCAGUAACAUCCUCAAUGACAGAUGAACUAAUUACUCUAUCACCAGAAAUAAGUGGCUCAUCUUCCUCGGUAUCAUCAUGCCCUGAUCCACUGCUUGAAUUACUUUCUAGUUUGUGCUGGACUGAGUCUUCAAUUUGAACUUCAGCCACAAGAGUUUCAGAACUUUCAGACACUACAGAAGCUUCAGGCAAUUCCUCCAAUUUAGAGUUCGCAGGUGGAACCACAGAUCGACGCCUCGGACCCAUACAUGACCAUGAUGACAGAGAUGAACGAGUUCUGACAACAGCUUGGGCGACAUUUUGUGCUCGCUUCAUCACAACCUACAAAUUAAAAGGUAGACAUCUUUUUGUUAUUUACAUAAUGACUGGCUAAUUGAAAAACAGAUAAAUAAUGCAGGAAAGGUUGUUGCUUGUACAUGCACAUGAAAGAAAGAAGAGCAAGACAGCAAAGUUUCAAUUGACUUAAUAGCUCCAAAGAAUUGAC
This 522-nucleotide long non-coding RNA is filed under the name Ricinus communis (castor bean). RNAcentral's name for it is "long non-coding RNA (RCOM_LNC000825)". Lineage: Eukaryota; Viridiplantae; Streptophyta; Magnoliopsida; Malpighiales; Euphorbiaceae. The record is from RNAcentral.